This 87-nucleotide transfer RNA is filed under the name Nitrospinota bacterium. RNAcentral describes it as "tRNA-Leu". It matches the Rfam family "tRNA". From Rfam's summary of the family: Transfer RNA (tRNA) molecules are approximately 80 nucleotides in length. Their secondary structure includes four short double-helical elements and three loops (D, anti-codon, and T loops). The record is from RNAcentral. Lineage: Bacteria; Pseudomonadati; Nitrospinota.
GCCCGAGUGGCGGAACUGGUAGACGCGCUAGAUUCAGGUUCUAGUGUGCUUCGGCAUGUGGAGGUUCAAAUCCUCUCUCGGGCACCA